GGGACGGGCGGAGCUACACAUGCAAGUCGAGCGGAUGAGGGUAGCUUGCUACCUGAUUCAGCGACGGACGGGUGAGUAAUGCCUAGGAAUCUGCCCGGUAGUGGGGGACAACGUUUCGAAAGGAACGCUAAUACCGCAUACGUCCUACGGGAGAAAGUGGGGGAUCUUCGGACCUCACGCUAUCGGAUGAGCCUAGGUCGGAUUAGCUAGUUGGUGAGGUAAUGGCUCACCAAGGCGACGAUCCGUAACUGGUCUGAGAGGAUGAUCAGUCACACUGGAACUGAGACACGGUCCAGACUCCUACGGGAGGCAGCAGUGGGGAAUAUUGGACAAUGGGCGAAAGCCUGAUCCAGCCAUGCCGCGUGUGUGAAGAAGGUCUUCGGAUUGUAAAGCACUUUAAGUUGGGAGGAAGGGCAGUAAGUUAAUACCUUGCUGUUUUGACGUUACCAACAGAAUAAGCACCGGCUAACUUCGUGCCAGCAGCCGCGGUAAUACGAAGGGUGCAAGCGUUAAUCGGAAUUACUGGGCGUAAAGCGCGCGUAGGUGGUUCAGCAAGUUGGAUGUGAAAGCCCCGGGCUCAACCUGGGAACCGCAUCCAAAACUACUGAGCUAGAGUACGGUAGAGGGUGGUGGAAUUUCCUGUGUAGCGGUGAAAUGCGUAGAUAUAGGAAGGAACACCAGUGGCGAAGGCGACCACCUGGACUGAUACUGACACUGAGGUGCGAAAGCGUGGGGAGCAAACAGGAUUAGAUACCCUGGUAGUCCACGCCGUAAACGAUGUCAACUAGCUGUUGGGUUCCUUGAGAACUUAGUAGCGCAGCUAACGCGAUAAGUUGACCGCCUGGGGAGUACGGCCGCAAGGUUAAAACUCAAAUGAAUUUGACGGGGGCCCGCACAAGCGGUGGAGCAUGUGGUUUAUUCGAAGCACGCGAGACCUUACCUGGCCUUGACAUGCUGAGACUUUCCAGAGAUGGAUUGGUGCCUUCGGGAACUCAGACACAG
Molecule: ribosomal RNA, 1002 nt
Filed under: uncultured bacterium
Lineage: Bacteria
Description: bacterial SSU rRNA
Rfam family: Bacterial small subunit ribosomal RNA
Source: RNAcentral